RNAcentral lists this ribosomal RNA (468 nucleotides) under uncultured bacterium. RNAcentral's name for it is "partial 16S ribosomal RNA". It matches the Rfam family "Bacterial small subunit ribosomal RNA", at positions 28 to 507 of the family's 1533-position model. The record is from RNAcentral.
GACGAACGCUGGCGGCGUGCUUAACACAUGCAAGUCGAACGGAAAGGCCCUGCUUUUGUGGGGUGCUCGAGUGGCGAACGGGUGAGUAACACGUGAGUAACCUGCCCUUGACUUUGGGAUAACUUCAGGAAACUAGGGCUAAUCCCGGAUAGGAGCUCCUGCUGCAUGGUGGGGGUUGGAAAGUUUCGGCGGUUGGGGAUGGACUCGCGGCUUAUCAGCUUGUUGGUGGGGUAGUGGCUUACCAAGGCUUUGACGGGUAGCCGGCCUGAGAGGGUGACCGGCCACAUUGGGACUGAGAUACGGCCCAGACGCCUACGGGAGGCAGCAGUGGGGAAUAUGGCACAAUGGGCGGAAGCCGGAGGCAGCAACGCCGCGUUCGGGAUGACGGCCUGCGGGUUGUAAACCGCUUUCGCCUGUGACGAAGCGGGAGUGACGGUAAUGGGUAAAGAAGCACCGGCUAACUACGUG